UGGGGAAUAUUGGACAAUGGGGGCAACCCUGAUCCAGCGACGCCGCGUGUGUGAAGAAGGCCUGCGGGUUGUAAAGCACUUUUAGUGGGGAUGAAAAGUACAUCGCUAAUACCGGUGUAUCUUGACCUAACCCAAAGAAAAAGCACCGGCUAACUCUGUGCCAGCAGCCGCGGUAAUACAGAGGGUGCGAGCGUUAAUCGGAAUUACUGGGCGUAAAGCGUGCGUAGACGGUUAUUUAAGUCGGGUGUGAAAGCCCCGGGCUCAACCUGGGAAUUGCAUUCGAGACUGAAUAGCUAGGGUACGGUAGAGGGAAGCGGAAUUUCCGGUGUAGCGGUGAAAUGCGUAGAUAUCGGAAGGAACAUCAGUGGCGAAAGCGGCUUCCUGGACCAGUACCGACGUUCAGGCACGAAAGCGUGGGGAGCAAACAGG
RNAcentral lists this ribosomal RNA (429 nucleotides) under uncultured bacterium. RNAcentral's name for it is "bacterial SSU rRNA". It matches the Rfam family "Bacterial small subunit ribosomal RNA", at positions 355 to 776 of the family's 1533-position model. The record is from RNAcentral.